Long non-coding RNA from Pectinophora gossypiella (pink bollworm), 1000 nucleotides. RefSeq lists it as uncharacterized. The transcript is spliced from 3 exons. NCBI's taxonomy places the organism in Eukaryota, Metazoa, Arthropoda, Insecta, Lepidoptera, Gelechiidae. The record is from RefSeq and is a predicted model, not a curated record.
AAUAGAAUAGAAAAAGUUUAUUAUAAAAGGACGCCACAUACAAAAAAAAUAAGACAACAACAUCAUAUCUAUCCACUAAAACAAUUACAAAAAAAGCAGGAUAUUUGUCGAAAUGAUCAUAAGGUGGUGGUGGACGUCCUGAGAUAAAAGGGCCUCACUCAGCACAAGUCGCGGCGUGAACCACGACGCUGGUAUUAUGUGGACCCUGUCGGGUGACGCACAAACAUCGUGCUCCAUAAACAUGUGUUAAUGGUGUAUAUACAUUAUAAUAUAUACCAAAUUAAAAAUACAUUAUAAUAUAUAUUUUAAUAGAAUUAGAGUGUACAUAGACAAAUAUCGCAAUUAUGUAUACAUAAAUACUUAAGUUUAGAAUAAAAAAGAAAGUUAUUCAUGUAGAUAAAACUAGUAAAUAAAUGUAAUAAUAUAAACAAAUACGAAUUCCAUGAAUGUGUAUUGUGUAGUCUGUCUGUGUUAGUACCUAUCUAUCGCGCGCGCCGCACCCCGAUUCUAGCUCGGUCGGUAAAGUAGUUUGGACACUACUACGAGUAGUACUUAUAAAUAUUAUUUUUUUUCCCAUUCGACCGCCGCGCCGUCGAACGGGCACGACGUAUUCCUAAAGUAAAGCGAAAUUAUAAAUUUGUAGAUUUGUAAUAGAAUUGCGUAUAUUAAUUAAAAAGAAAAAAUAAAGUAAAUCAAAUAAAGCAAAUAUACAUUAACCAAAUUAGAAAUAAUAAAUUACGUCCAAUACAUUCAACAACAUCCAUAAUAAAUAAUAGAAAUAAAUGCAGUCGUUUGAGAACCCCAACAAACAAUCCAUGAGACCAUGCAAACAUUACCCGACGGAAAAUAAUAAUAAUCAUGACAAAGGUUGUGUCGCCGCAUCCAGCCCGCUAGGAGGACUCCGCCACGUUGACGUGUCGAAACCAAUUAGACUACGAAACGGCGGCGGCAAAUCGUUCCAGCACUUGGAUGCGGCGAAACUGAAACUGCCACGGAAAGC